UCUUUUACUGGUAAAAAUGACAGAUUGCAACCGAACCCUAAUAAAACUUAUUAUAUUAUAUUAUUAUUUAUUUUUUCCACUUUUUAUUUUUGCAUCUCAGCAAAAGCAAAUUUCAGCGGUUUCCAGUCCAGGACGGACGGGCGGAUGGACAGACAGACAGACAAAUAUGGCGAAACUAUAAGGAUUCCUAGUUGACUACGAAAUACUAAAAUAAGCGCCAAAUUUGAAACAUGGGCGAAGGUUUAUUGUGCCAUAGAAAAUUUGAAUUAGGCGCCUUUUUUAAACGACAGUAUUUGCUUGGCCAUAAUUUUCUUUAAAUAAUUUUAUUAAUGUAAAUGUUGCAAAUAAUUGUGAAAAUAAAGUUAUCGAAUAAUAAUACUAAAGCCUGACCAGAAAUAUAUGACUAUUAUUGUCAAGAGGGCGCUGUUUAUUCUGAUGUAUGGGGUGACAUUGCAGUUUAGUAUGAAGAAUAGUUCUCAUAUUAUAUUUCUCUCUUUAUUAGGCUCUCAGGCUUUAUCAAUCUAUGACUUUCGAGCCAAUUCGUCACUACUUUUAAAAAAUUUCGUAUCUCACGCUGUUCCUCAAAGUUAAAACGCAGUAAGUCUAUAUGCAUUCCAUACAUACUUACUACAAUUUUCUUUUCAUUGAUAGACGAAGAUAUGAGUUUUUUUUUAAAGUAGUGACGAAUUAUUUAUGUCUCCUGAUUUUUAGGACACGUGUCUUCUGAUUUUAUUCAAAUUGGACCUGGCAACACUGAAAUAAUGUCAGAAUCUUUUCUUUGACAUUAUUUACAAUUUAUAUUAUUGUACAUAAUUGGUUUUUUCACUAUUCUUAAGCUAAAAAAACACCUGUUUGUCCUCCAAAGAAUACCUUAUUGGAUUCACAGAAUGAUUGAGGAUUUGAGGGAAGCAUGUUAAGACUGUGACAAUAUGGUCUUAAGGCAGCCGGCCUCAUUGAGAACAAGAAAAUAUUCUGCUUCAUGUAGCGGUUGUUAUUUGUUAAUAUGACAUGUCUCGGCAGUGUAGUGACCCUGUGCUUAAUUAAGGCUUCAGGCUCAAAUCAUGGUAAACCAAAAUGUAAGCGGCCGGUUGAAAAAGUAGCAGAGUCGAAAAUGGAAAUUAAUGAGCUGCAGAAGUAAAUUUUAGAAGAAUAAUUCUCUUCUUUGUUGUAUCCUUGUGGCUGAGGGACAUGACGAAUGAGGCCAUUCUUUACCAGUGCUCUUCACGCCACUCAAUCCUGGGCCCGGUGCAUGCUAGCCUGCAGUGGUCUUUGUCAGAGAUGUUAUUGUGUCUGCCCAAUGUGUGCCCAUGCUGCCACUUCUUCACUUCCUUGCCGUGUCCUGUGAUUAUGGGAAUAAUAUGCAAAUAAAAACCAACAAUGGGCCAUCGAAGAACAGGAGAGGGCAUGUGGGCCUUAGAGAAAGAGUUGUUAAUGUGAAGACUAAAUAAAUUCAACAAAUAAAAUCUCAACUAUAAUACUGUCUUUGGUACACCCGCUACCAUCGCGUCAAAUAGUGAAAGUGCAGUUCAGUGUAAGCAAAGACAGUGUACAAGAUAUACCACUCACCUAUGGCAUUAGUGUUACUAGACCACAUUAAUACAUAAAGACUAUUUUUCUAAACUUGUCCAAAAAUUUUAUUAAAAAGGUGUCGGAACGCCUUACAGGUGUCUCGAGGGACCAAAUAGCGGGUUCCUUCUUUGCUCAGAGGUUGAGUCUGGCGGUGCAAAGGGGAAACGCCGCAAGCAUUCUUGGGUCUAUGCCGGAGGCAGGGGAUCUGAGGGGGUUUUUUAUAUUUAGUUAUAACCUGCUUGUGUUAGUUUUAGUCUUUAGGGUUUUAAGAUUUAAUUAUAAGAUUAAAUAUAUUGUUCGUAGUUGUUGUUGAAUAAGCAGUGUUUGUGUGUCUGACUAACGAAAAUAUAAAUUCAGAUUCUAAACGUCUAAACUUGUGUAUAGCUCUGUGUUGUCUUAAUAAAUCCUAUUGGAAACGC
Molecule: long non-coding RNA, 1988 nt
Organism: Leguminivora glycinivorella
Lineage: Eukaryota; Metazoa; Arthropoda; Insecta; Lepidoptera; Tortricidae
Exons: 3
Source: RefSeq, a predicted model, not a curated record